GAUGAACGCUGGCGGCGUGCCUAAUACAUGCAAGUCGAGCGAACAGACGAGGAGCUUGCUCCUCUGACGUUAGCGGCGGACGGGUGAGUAACACGUGGAUAACCUACCUUUAAGACUGGGAUAACUUCGGGAAACCGGAGCUAAUACCGGAUAACAUAUUGAACCGUAUGGUUCAAUAGUGAAAGACGGAUUUGCUGUCACUUAUAGUUGGAUCCGCGUCGCUUUAGCUAGUUGGUAAGGUAACGGCUUACCAAGGCAACGAUGCGUAACCGACCUGAGAGGGUGGUCGGCCACACUGGAACUGGAACAGGGUCCAGACUCCUACGGGAGGCGGCAGUGGGGAAUCUUCCGCAAUGGGCGAAGGCCUGACGGAGCAACGCCGCGUGGGUGAUAAAGGUCUUCGGAUCGUAAAACUCUGUUAUUGGGAAAGAACAAAUGUGUAAGUAACUAUGCACGUCUUGACGGUACCUAAUCAGAAAGCCACGGCUAACUACGUG
Molecule: ribosomal RNA, 497 nt
Filed under: uncultured bacterium
Lineage: Bacteria
Description: partial 16S ribosomal RNA
Rfam family: Bacterial small subunit ribosomal RNA
Source: RNAcentral